UAGGUGUCAUACUUAUUAAACCUUUUGAGCUGAAGCAGUAGAUCAACAUGCCGUGGGGAUCACCGAAUUAUUUUGGGAAGUGUGUGCGAUUGGUUGUGUUCUUUCUCGUUAUCCUAUAAAUAAAUCGAUUUCAUUUGGUGAGUUUCUCCCUUAUGCCCUCUUCAUAUUGGCAUUUUGUAUUUGUGCAAACUUCAAUGCUUAAUUAUUGCAGCCUUGCAUAUUGAAAGGGAUUAACAUUGAUGGAUGUGUAUAUGAUGCAUAAAUGUGUCUUCACUAUGGUCUCGUGUGGCAUCAAACUGUAUUUGUUGAUUUUUGGACCAAUGUGUAUGGUUUUAGGAUUUCCGAAGAAUAGUUUCCAUGUCCAUGGUUGAAGCUCAAUGCAAUUUGUGCUAAUUCAUGAUGUCUUCUCUGCCUUUGAAGUAAACAUGGAAGGUUAAAUCUUAAUUAUGAUUAAUAAACUCUAAUUAUGGAUUGAUAAGCCCUAAUUGGGAAUUACCUUACUUGGGGAUUGAUGAACCCUAAAUUGAGGUGGCUGCACCAUGCACCUUGAUUUAUACAAUUCUUUGCCAAAGUUAUAAUGUGAAUGAAAUAAAGGUUUGCUAGUAUAUGCUUGUUAGUAUAUGCUUGUUUCCUUUCUGUAGCUGUUUUUGAGUUUUUGCAGACAAACUACUGAUUUACUUUGAUAUCCUAUUUUAAGUGCUAUGAUUUAUUUAAUGUGAAUAACCUCUUUUGAGUUUUUUUCAUCCAGAUAAGUCUUGUUAGGCUGCCUUAUUUUGGUCGACUCGUCUACUAGCUAUAUUUUGUUGUGGUGGGUGAAGUGAGAAUGCGCAUUGCUGUUGCUCGAAAGAAAAAUCAGAAAGCAAAACAACUGGGACAGAUUAAUAUGAGUAUUGGAAGCAUUGCUUUUUACCAAUUGAUGCAAGUUCGACAGG
This 932-nucleotide long non-coding RNA is filed under the name Salvia miltiorrhiza (redroot sage). RNAcentral's name for it is "long non-coding RNA (SMIL_LNC007561)". Lineage: Eukaryota; Viridiplantae; Streptophyta; Magnoliopsida; Lamiales; Lamiaceae. The record is from RNAcentral.